This 254-nucleotide ribosomal RNA is filed under the name uncultured archaeon. RNAcentral's name for it is "partial 16S ribosomal RNA". It matches the Rfam family "Archaeal small subunit ribosomal RNA", at positions 728 to 982 of the family's 1478-position model. The record is from RNAcentral.
AUUAGAUACCCGUGUAGUCCCAGCCGUAAACUAUGCUCGCUAGGUGUCAGGCAUGGCGCGACCGUGUCUGGUGCCGCAGGGAAGCCGUGAAGCGAGCCACCUGGGAAGUACGGCCGCAAGGCUGAAACUUAAGGAAUUGGCGGGGGAGCACAACAACGGGUGGAGCCUGCGGUUUAAUUGGACUCAACGCCGGACAACUCACCGGGGACGACAGCAAUAUGUAGGCCAGGCUGAAGACCUUGCCUGAAUCGCUG